Molecule: long non-coding RNA, 10356 nt
Filed under: Coffea arabica (coffee)
Lineage: Eukaryota; Viridiplantae; Streptophyta; Magnoliopsida; Gentianales; Rubiaceae
Description: long non-coding RNA (CARA_LNC003539)
Source: RNAcentral
UUUUUUCUAUUUUGGUCCAAUUGGUCCCAUACUUGGACCCUAUCCAAACAAGACAAAUAGCCAACAGGUUCUUCACCAUUUGCAGGAUUAUUGCAUCCCCUUGUCUGGGUACAAUGGAUCUAUGACUAUGAGAAGCCAUACCAAAACCUUAUCUUCACUGUCUUAUCAUGGUUAAUAUGGCCUUUCAUGAACUAAUGUUCAAAUACAGGGCAAAAUAGUCUAUAGAAGUUUAAGACACAGCCCCCUCAGCCCCAGGUUUUUGCUAGUUGCUAAAACAUUAUCCAUCAGUCCAUGCUCUUCAAUCUUCACAUGAAAGGAUUUAUAUAAAUACAUGACUCAGCAUUACAGCAUUCCAACAUCUUCAGAACCAUAUUUGAACUUGUCUUCUCAGAAGUCUCACUUCUUGAAGAGAACUUGUCUUAUAUUGUAUUUUCAGCAAAAAUCUCAAAAGUAUCCUCUGAAGUUCAGCACUUAGAUAUUAGAUAAACAAGAAAAUGAGUUCAACAAGCAGGGCUUGGAUAGCAGCACUGGGUGUGGGAGCAGUCCAGGCAAUGAGAUAUCAGGGAUUGUUCAGGUGGAAUCACACCAUAAGGUCAAUCCACCUGCAUGCCAAGAACAACCUCAGGUCCUUGUCUCAAUCCAAGCAGCUUUCUUCUUCUGCAUUUGUCUCAUCAAGGAAUAAAGCUGAAGAUCAAGAAAAACUAAAGGAGGCUGAAGAUUCAUUGAGGAAAGUCAUGUACUUGAGCUGCUGGGGACCAAAUUGAUUGAGCCCUCCAAAAGUAGUACUAGUUUGUAGUUGUUAGAUAUAGGAGGUGAUGUAAAGUUGAAGAUUUUGGUAAUAUUCUGGCUAAAAAAAUUGUAAAUUCUAAUAUUUAAGGCCUGCUAUGCCAAAUGAAUUGGAAUAGAAAAUUCAUGCCUUUUUUCAAAUAUAAUCUCUGUUAAUUUUUCUCAACUAAAUAUAUUGCAUUAGCCAUUGGAAUCUUGCGGAACGCAGAGUGGGAGAACCAACAAAGUGGACCAGUCGAGGCAGCCAUACUUCCAAAAUUCAUUUAUUUUCCUUUUCAAGAAAUGCUUAUUUUCAUAUAUGUCCUUAAAAUAAUAACAAAUAUAGUCCUUUUCACCAAAAUUUUCUCAAAAAUAUAAUAAUUAAGCUCCAAAAGCGAACCCCCUACUCCAAAAUGAGCGGUAUAGAAGCAAAUGAAUUUUUCCGAUGUUCUUUUUUUUUUUUUUUUUUGAAAGAAUUGCUAUGUUGUUGAAGGAAUUAAGCUCCAAAAGAGAACCCCUAUCUCAGUGUUUGGGUACCUAUGACAACUAACAAGUUACAAAACCAUGUGCUUAUUGUCAUUGUCAACUAUAACUAAUGUGUUUAUUUUUAUUUGUUAAGUAUCAUAACAUACUUAAAGAAGCACUCAAGACUAUUUCUUGUACAUGGAAGUCUAUGGUGGCAAUUCUCUUAAAAUUGACCCAACAUAACCACACAGAUGCUGCUCUGUUGUUGAGUGUUCUUUCUCCAUUUUAGAUUUUUCCCUUCAGUUUUUAAACAUUUUUCUACCCAACCCUCCCUCCCCCCCCCUCCCCAUUUAGUCUGUGGAUUCGGAGUUUCUGCACUCACCAAUAUCAAUUACAGUACACAAUGUAGACACUAUCACAAUAAAUAUAGGCAUUAACAUAUUAAAUAUAGAUACCAAGGGUGCGUUUGAUAAAACUGACAAUCUAAAACCUGAAUCCAUUAAGUUAUUGAAUUGUUAAAUAUUAAAUAUAAUACAUUUGAGUCUAUAUUACAUUUAGUGAUAAGUAAAUAACUUAUUAUUUAAUUUUCGGGGCAAGUUUUGCCUAGAAGAUUCAGUACAACUUAAUUAAUUCAGAUGUUUAAUUUUUAGUUAUCAAACGCGUCUGAACAUAUUAAGAUCUGAAUUUAUUAAGUUUAAGUGCUGAAUUGGGUUAUCAAACAAGGCCUAAGUUAGUAACAAGCAAAUCAUAAAAAAUUUUAGUGUUGAUUGAAAUUUGUGUUGCAAAAUUAAUCCCACAUCCAAAUUCAAAUUAAACCAAUAUGGGCUAGCAAUAGCAUGGUGCUAUUGAUUAACAAUUGUAGAAGUCCAAUUUCCUAAUUGUAGCAUAGAUGUCCACCUUAGACUUCUCCCUCCUGACUGUAAAUAGAAUAGAAUUCUCGUCCCAGAGAAAAUCAUAAACGUACACUGGAUAUAUACUUUGCUAACCAAGUAUGAAUAAAAUAUACAUAAAAAUGAAGUUGCAUUCAAAUGAAAUUAGUCUUCUACACACGUGACAUGGGUGCGAAUAAUCAGUAUUCUAAUAAUUUAUUACCCUCUCAAUGCUAAGUGAAGAAGAAGAUAGCAUUGGAUCACCAAAAAAAAAAAAAUUACAAUUUCUUCUUUUCUUUGCAUUGUUUGGUAAAAUAGGGAAAUAAAUAAUUCAAAAAUAGCCCACUUUACAUGUGGAUUACCACACCCUCCAAAGCCGGAAAAUGCCACAGCCCACCAUAAAAAAAAUCCCUGUAGCUGUUUUUGGAUUUGUUUUUGGAAGGUUUUUGGUUUGCAACAAUGCAUUUACACAAACACACAGAAACUCUAGAGAUGACAGAAUAUAAAUAUGACUUAACAUCCCAAUAGCUUCUGCAUCAAACACUCCUGAAAAAUCAAUCUGAAAACAUCUCUAGACUCUUAAACACUUCAUCAUCAACGAGGAAUUAAUCUUUCAGUUCUGCUACCUUCUUGCUGAAGAUGAGUUCAACAAGCAGGGAAUGGAUAGCAGCAGUAAGUGUAGGAGCAGUGGAGGCAAUGAAAGAUCAGGGAUUGAGUAGGUGGAACCACACAAUGAGAUCAAUGCACCAGCUUGCCAAGAACAACCUCAGGUCUUUGUCUCAGAACAAGCAGCUCUCUCCUGCACUGGCUUCAUCAAGCAGUAAAGCUAAAGAUCAAGAAAAGCUAAGGAGGUCUGAAGAGUCAUUCAGGAAAGUCAUGUACCUGAGCUGCUGGGGACCAAAUUGAUCGAGCCCCACCACUAAAACUACUAGGCAGUUUGUAAUUUUAAGAUACAUGGGGUGAUGUAAAACUGGAAAUUUUGGUAAUUUCCUAGCUACAAAAUUGUAAAUUUAAAAUUUGAGGCCCUUUUUUGCAAUGAAUUUGAAUAGAAAAUCCAUUUCUUUGUUAAAUUACGGGUUCUGUUAUUAUUCCUUAACUAAAUUAAUUGCAUUAGCAUCUCACGGAGCAGCAGAACUGCUUCAUUUUCCUUUUCAAGAAAUGCGUAAAUAUCCUUCAAGUAAUAAGAAUUAUUGUCCAUUUCACCAAAAAUUUCUCAAAUGCACGAGUAAACUCCAAAAAAGAAUGUUGUUUCUUUUUUUUUCCCCCGGUUGAAUCUAGAACGUUGUUGAUACUUGAUUGGUUAAUAUAUAGGAGCUAUCUAAACGGAGAGAAAAUACUCUCAUAUGUAAAUCCAAGACUUAGAUAGACUACAGAAAGUGUUACUUCUGGCGCAUACUACGUCUCCGUCCCAAAAUUCUAACAAGACAAAUGGCCAUUGGCCAACAGCUUCUUUGUAAUUCCAAGUUGCUAUCGCACUGUCUGGGUACAGUGCACCUAUUACAACUAACUAGUUAUAAAACCGGGUGCUCAUUCAUUGUCAACCAUGUACAGCUAGUUUUGUUAUGUUCACUCCCAUAGAUGUGAUUAACUACCGCAUUACAGGGGAAGCAUUACAAUGAUGUAUUUAGCCCAACUCGGGUAGCUCGAGUGAUUUCGUUGCUCCUCUUUAGAAUAUGGCGACCACGGUUUGAGUCCCGAGGAAAUCGUGUUCGAAAGGAACGGGUCUCUCUUCUCGGGUCACAGGAGGAGUAGUAGGGCCGAAGGCCCGGAUACCCCUAGAUCAGAAAAAAAAAAUUACAAUGAUGUAUUUAUCUGAUUUGGAGGUUCGCUCUCCAACUCUUUUGCAAUGGAGUAUUGUGCUUCCUUUCUUUAUAAAAUUCAGAGCACAGUAAUGCAUUUAUCUGAAUUGGAGGUUUGCUCUCCAACUCUUAUACAAAUCCAGUUAGGCUCAUCCUCUCUCUUAUAGUGUAGCAGCAGUCUUCAUCGUUGUAUCCAAAAUUAAUCUCUUUUAUUCAAAUUCAAAUUAACCUGAUAUGCUCCAUCGAUUGCUUGCUUGGUGCUAUUGAUCUGAUAAUUGCAGGAAACAAGUCCCCUAUUUUGUACAAUGAAAGUGUGAUAGAGACGUCAAUCGUAAACUUUUCCAUCCUAAUUAUAGACAGGAUUGUAGUCAUCCAAGAGAAAAUCUCAAAUAUACAUUGAAUAUGUUUGCUUAUUGAUUAUGAACAAAACAAAUAAAAGUAAAGUUGUAUCUGAAUGGAAUUAGCCUUUUGUAUAUGUGACAUGGGUACAAGUAAUCAAUAACUCCUAAUGAUUGAUUACCCUCUCAAUGCUAAGUCAAGAAGAAGAUAGUUUAGAUAGAGUAUUAUUUGAAAUAAUUAUUAUAGCAUUUUUUAUGAUGUGCACAUGAGAUUAAAAAAUAGUUGAAAACAUUAACAAUUAUGGUUAAAAAAUAUAUUUAUGAUGCUAACAAAAUAAUAUUUAGGUAUAAUUUCAGAAACCUUCCUUGGGGUUUUUGACAAUUACACAUAAAUACUCUCCAAUAUCAAAAAUUACAGUGCCCUCCCCUUAAUUGACAUAUUUGAUAACAAAUUAAGUCCAUGUUAGAAAAAGUACUCUUAAAGUAAUGAAUCAGUUUUGUCAAACAAUUAUAUUUCAAGUUUGCCCUCAUUGAAUCUUAAAGAAAAUAAGUUAAAAUUUUGGGCAAGAAAAAUGGCAAUAAAAAAAGGAAGAAAAAUUGGCACCAAGUUCAUCCGCUAAGGACAUGAAAUUAACAUUAAACAAAUCAGCAUUUUGGACAGCAAAGUCCUACAAGAAUUGAUGGUACUUUGUGGACAAUAUAUAGCAUAAAAUGCUAGUGAAUGAGCACAAAAAAAAAAAAGAGGCCAAUUUCAACUGAAUACAAAGGCAAUGAAAGAAACAUGUCUUCAUCAAACUAUCGUCGGAGCUCAUUUCAUGCAGGCACAUCAUUGAGGAUGAAAAAUAGAAACUAUAAUGGGUGUGGAUGGAAAGCAACAAUUAAAAUUUUUUAAAGCAAAAAAAAAAAUUCCUGGCAGGUUAUAUUUUGGUUGUUCUAAGUAUGGCUAUUUCAAGUGGUUUGAUGGCAAUGUAGCCAAAGAAGUGAGUAGUCGAAGACAAGAAGAUCCAACACAAGUUCAAAUAUCAAAAAGCAUUGGCAACAAUGUAGUGUCACCGACCCAAAUAUUGAUAAUGAUCAACAUGAGUUUACUAAUUAUAUUCAUUUUCAUUCAAAUUGUAAAGUUCAUUUGAAAUAUGGAUAUAAUUGUAAGAAUGUACCACAAAAAGUGUCUUGGUAGUUAUAUAGUGGCAGAACUAAAAGGCCAUAAAACGGUGGAUUUAAAUUCAUCUAUGAUAUUUAGUAAGAGUUUAUCUACUGUGAUUCAAAAUCAAAGAUUCUAGAUGUACAAAGCACUAUAAACUAAAUAAACUAAAACAAGUCUUAAAUAUAAUAAACAACAAGGUCAUACACUUCAAACUGGUUGAAUACCCAUAACAAGCAAUCCAAGGCAAGAAAAACAUGUCAACAAGGUUAUACACUUAAUGGCGCCAAAUUGCAUAUAAAAAUACUAUACUUGGAAAACUAGUCUUUUCCCCAUAUUUUUAGUAUUUUAGGGAUUGAUUUUGUGGGCUGUUGAAUAUGACAACCGGUCAUAUCAAAGUGAAAGAGGAGGGCACUGUAAUUUUUUAUAUUGGAAGGUAUUUAUGUGUAAUUGUCAGAAACUUCAGGGGAGGUUUCUGAAAUUAUCCCUAAUAUUUAUACUAUAUAUAAAGGGAGCCUUAAAUUUGAUGUAAACUUUUUUUUGUCAUCUUUUAGAUUUCCAGCUUCACCCUCUCGAUCACUUAAUUAUACCACCAUAUUGCUAAUCAACUUAACCACAAAUUAACUUUCACCCCAAUUAUCUAAAUAUAUAUUGCCUACAUAACUACCUACAAACAUUGUAACCAACAAGUUAAUUAAAAUUCUAUUAAAGAACUAUUUUUUUGACAAAUAUUCAAAAAACUAGUAAAAGAUCAAAAUUUACUUGUUCAUGUAUGAAAAUUUUAUACUAAAUUCUUUCAUAUAAAGGAUCGUUCCGAAAUUCCACAUACAUCGAGUGUGCCUUUAUCGCUAAUUUGAGAUAAUAUGUGUAUCCAAACAUAGUAAUAAUUUCUUCUAUUCUUUGCUUUGUUCGGUAAAAUGGAUUAAAAAAGCAAAUGAAAAAUACCCCACUCGACCUUUACAAAACCGCCCUCCCCAAAGUCAGUGGAUAAAUACCACAGCCCAUGAGCCCACUAGAAAUUUAAAAAACCAUAAACUCCAAGACCACUGGAAAAGCACCCAGCCCCUGGUUUCUGCAACAACUUAUUUACACAAACUUUUGAGAUGACAGAAUAUAAAUAUGGCUGAACUCCCCAACAACAUCAGCACCAAAGAACAUCUUCUCAGAAUUCAGAAAAACAUCUCUAGUACUCAACCAAGCUUCAAGAGUUCCAGAAAGACUCCAUCAUCAACAAGGAAUCUUUACAGUUUUAAAAUUUAUUCUUGCUGAAAAUGAGUUCAACAAGCAGGGCGUGGAUAGCAGCGGUGAGUGUAGGCGCAGUGGAGGCAAUGAAAGAUCAGGGAUUGAAUAGGUGGAACCACACCAUGAGGUCUGUACACCAGCUUGCCAAGAACAACCUCAGGUCCCUGUCUCAGACCAAGCAGCUUUCUCCUUCUGCAUUGGCUUCAUCAAGCAGUAAAGCUAAAGAUCAAGAAAAACUAAAGAAGUCUGAAGAAUCAUUAAGGAAAGUCAUGUACUUGAGCUGCUGGGGACCAAAUUGAUUGAGCCCCCCAUUAGUACUACUAUUUGUAAUUUUUUUUACAUACAUGGGGCGAUGUAAAACUGGAAAUUUUGGUAAUUUUGUACCCACAAAAUUGUAAAUUUUAAAAUUUAUGGCAUUUUUUGCCCAAUGAAUUGGAAUAGAAAAUUGAUGUGUUCUUUAAUGUGCAAUUUCAGUUUAGCAUUUCUUAAUGGGGUUAACUGCAUUAGCAUCUCGAGGAGGUGUGAUAGAUUAAAAUUGAUUAGAUUAAAAUGUAGGUUAAUCCAAGCCGCCUUAAUUGACAAGAGAAAUAAAGAGUGACAAAAUUGUGGGGUCAAUGUAUUGGCAAACAACGCAUGAUUGAGUAUAACACAGACGACUUCAUUAAGCAGUAUUAUUAGUAGUUUAGGCCCGAGAUAUUCACCUUUUUUGUUUUGUCAAAACCCGAGGAUAUUCACUUGGCUUUAUUGGAUCCGUAUUUUCUCAAUGUACUUUAGGCUUCCAAAGAGGCUAAUAAGAUUGAGUAUUGUUUAACUCAUCAUGCAAAAACUGCCAAUCUUCUUAAAAAUCUAUGGAAUUCAUCGCCAAGUUUUGUCAAGUAAAUCGUGUUGAACGAUAUCUACCAAUCUCAUUAAUAAAGUUUCCUGUUUUAUAAAAAAAAAAAAAAAAAAAGUAUUACCAUCUACUACAUGGCCUCAUUUUUAGACUGAUUUUCAAAACUUGAUUUUAGAUUUUAAUUUUAAAAAAAUUAUUUUAUUGUGUUCUCAAUUGCUGUUCAUAUUUUGAUUUUGAGUUUUUUUAGCUUUAAAAAAUUAAAAAUUAGAAGCAUCUAUUUUGAUAUUUUUUAUUUUAAUUUUCCAAAAUUAGUUCUUAUACAAUCAAAAACAGUUGGGAACAAGGCCAAUAACUUGUUUGUCUAUUUUUAUUCAAUAGGAAGGACUUAUGUUCUCAUUGUUAAUUACUUCAAGUAUUAACAAUGCUUGCACUCAAGAUUAAAUCUCUUAUACUUGAAAGUCUGUUGUGGCUAAUUCUCAUAGAAUUAAAUUAACCCAUAGUAGCCAUACACUUGUUCUUCUAUUUUUAAGAUUUUGGAAUUUUCGCGUGGGUACUUAGGUGAUUUUUAUACACGCGCCACUUUGUACAAUGACCAUAACUUACAAGUUCGCCUUAAACCUUUUUUUUUUUUUUUUUGGAAGGAAUUCACCUUAAACGUUUCUCUCGUAAUAUUUAGAAUUAUAGUUCUCGUCAUUCUUGAGAAAAUAAAAGUAUACAUCAAAUAUGUACGUUGCUAACCAAUUAUGAAUAAAGUAAAUAAAACUAAAGGUCUACUAAAAUGGAAAUAAGAUUGCACAUAACGCAUUAUGCAAAUUUUGCCUUUUUGAAUGUCUUAGAAUUUUCUUCCGUCAAGAAAGCAGUGGUGAACAAUUUUCAACAAUCUUAUUGAUAAAACUCUUUUGUUAUAUUAAAAAAAGUUAUUAAAAUGGAAUUAGUCCUUUGUAUAUUUGACUGGGGGUGCCAAUUGGGAUUUCGUAAUCAGGUUUUAACAAAUCCAAAUUCGAUUCACAAAUGAUAUAGGUUUUUUGAUCUUCGGGCAUUCGGGUUUGAAGUUCAAAUUAAAAGGUUCGAUCUCAAUUCUCAUUGUUAAAUGAGUUUCAGGUUCAAAUCAGACUUGACUCAAACUCAUAGUUAAAUACAAAAUUAUAUAUAAUAUAUUUAUAAUUAUGAAUCACUAUAAAUUUAUAUAUAAAUUAUUAUGUCAUAGAUAUUUAUAAUUACACACACACAUUCAUAUAUGAGCCGGGUAUUAGCUGUGUUCGAUUCUAGCAUGAUUCAAAUUCGAUUUUACAUUUAGGGUGUAUUUGAUAAAAUUGAAAUCUGAAAUCUGAAUCCAUUAAGUUAUUAAAUUAUUAAGUAUUAAAUCUAAUACAUUUCAAUGCAUAUCACAUUCAACGAUAAGUUAAUAACUUAUCACUUAAUUUUGGGAGCAAGUUUUAAUUAGAAAAUCUAAUACCACUUAAUUAAUUCAAAUGUUCAAUUUUUUUUAUCAUCAAAUAAUCUGAAUAUAUUAAGAUCUGAUUCCAUUAAGUUUAAGGGUUGAAUUUGAUUAUCAAAUAGGGCCUUAGUUCCGGUCUAAUAUUAAGGCUAAACUCUAUCUAGUCCAAAUAAAAAUUAGUCCAGCGGUUUUUUUGAGCCAAAUAAGCCGAGCUCGAACUGUUCUAAUCCCAUUGACAACCCUAUAUUUGACAUGGGUACGACUAAUCAGUAACUCCAAAUAAUUUAUUACCCUUUCAAUGCUAAGUGAAGAAGAAGAUAACAAUUCCCUCUUUUCUUCUUAUCUUUCAAUGCUACGUAAUUCCAAAAUUGGCCGCUUGAUUUCCUGGAAACCGUGCUCUCCAGAGCCAGUUGAGCACGCCACAGCCCUGAGCCCACAAGAACUUUAAAAAACCACACUCUCCUAGACCACUGGAAAGCUACAGAGCCCCUGGUUUUUUGCAACAAUCAUCAUACACAAACACACACAAACUUCAGAGAAUCUGUGUAUAUAUAUGACUGAACCUCCCAACAGCUCCAUCACCAAACACAUCUUCUUCUCAGAAUUCUAAAAGCAUCUGCAGCACUCAACUAAAGACUUGUAUCAUCAACAAGGAGUCAAUCUUUCAGUUUAACUACGUUCUUGCUGAAAAUGAGUUCAACAACCAGGGCAUGGAUAGCAGCAGUAAGUGUAGGAGCAGUGCAGGCAAUGAAAGAUCAGGGACUGUACAGGUGGAACCACACCAUUAGGUCAAUGCAGCAGCUUGCCAAGAACAACCUCAGGUCCUUGUCUCAGACCAAGCAGCUCUCUCCUGCAUUGGCUUCAUCAAGCAUUAAAGUUAAAGAUCAAGAAAAAAUUAGGCAGUCUGAAGAAUCAUUAAGGAAAGUCAUGUACUUGAGCUGUUGGGGUCCAAAUUGAUUGAGCCCCCCCACUAGUACUAUUUAGUUUUGUAAUUUUAGAUAUAUGGGGUGAUGUAAAACUGGAAAUUUUGGUAAUUUUCUACCUACAAAAUUGUAAAUUAUAUGAUUUUAAGACAUUUUUUGCAAAUGUCUUUCUUUAAAUAUGGUCUCUAUAAUCACUGCUUAGUUGAAUUAAUUAAUUGCAUUAGCAUCUCAAUGGGUGGCAGAGUUAAUGGGGUUGAGCUCAGGCAGCCAUACCACCAAAAUUGGUAUAUUUUGCUAUUGAAGAAAUGCGAAUUUUGCUAUAUAUCCUCCAUGUCAUAAAAAAAAUUCUUCCCUUUCACCAAAAUUUUCAUGGCGACACAAGUAAACUCCAGAAGAGAACUCCUAGCCCCAGGUAUGGAUGCUUGCCUUUGGAAUUAUCAAGAAUUUGCUUUCCACUGAUCUCGCCAAAGAAUAUGUAUGAGGUUUUUCUUCCUUUUUUUUUUUGGUUUAAUAAAAGAGUGAUACGUUAUUUUUUAUGCUCGAC